GGUGGCUGGCCUGACCUUGAUCAUCUGCCUGUGGGGCUCCCUGGGGCACAGUUGGGAAUUUGUCCAUGGCACUGGGGCCUGGGCAUGGGAGGCAAGGCCGGGCAGUGGGAGGUGCCCUGAAUUGGUGAUCCAGCCACUUAAGCACUGAACCUCAAUACAGGAGACGUCACAGGAUUGCUGUAAGGAUCUAAAGAGCUGCCUCAGAAGAGAAGAAGGAACGGACACAAAUGAAAAUCAGAACACUAAAGAGAUUCAAAGAUUUGUCAUUUCCCUUCUGCUCAUGAAGGCCCUUGAUAGCUACACACGCAGUCAAGGCAACAAGCAAGCCUUCCACAUCCACGGUGGAUGGAGGCGCUCUUGAAAGGGGAGCCUUAGGAUGAAGGCAAAGGAAAAUGACCAGAAGGAAAGGACGGUGGGAGCGUAAAGAAGACUGACCUUGCACGGGGAAGGUGUGGACUUCUAGCCCAGCUAGAACUGGACGUCUGCUUCCCCGACCCCGUGUCCUUGAGAAGGUCAGCUUCGAAGCCUCAGUCUCCCCACCUAUGAAACGAGGAUGCAGGUCUCCAACUCACCCACAGUGCGGCCCCCUCGAAAGACUCACGUGGUUUAAUGACUCGUAAAGCACACAUCAUAAACGGCACACACGUUCUAGAAGGCUU
RNAcentral lists this long non-coding RNA (659 nucleotides) under Sus scrofa (pig). RNAcentral's name for it is "lncRNA (ENSSSCG00005013183.1)". The record is from RNAcentral. Lineage: Eukaryota; Metazoa; Chordata; Mammalia; Artiodactyla; Suidae.